RNAcentral lists this unclassified non-coding RNA (775 nucleotides) under Hevea brasiliensis (rubber tree). Lineage: Eukaryota; Viridiplantae; Streptophyta; Magnoliopsida; Malpighiales; Euphorbiaceae. The record is from RNAcentral.
GUGAUUAUUAACAAUAAAUGCAUCGCUAGAAACCAAGAUUUGACAACAUAACUGCCAAAUGUAGCUUCUAAGAGAAGUUAAAUAUAAUAACUGCAACAACCCGAAUUUGACAAGACCCCAGACCAAAUUUUGUCAAAAUUAUGCAUCUGCUAGAGAUGAGAAAAGGUAAAAAAUUCAUCCAUAAAGGAAAGCACAACUAUGGAGAAAAGUCACAAUAACAUGUGCAAUUUUUGUUAGAGUUUGAAAUCUUAAUACCACACCAGUAAAUCGGUGGGGAAAUAACAUCAUUGUGAGAGUUGGGCCUUUUAAAUCUACAAACAACCCUCACCCUCCACAAGUCCAUGGGGGGUAGCUGACCACCUCUUACUCAGCAAUAGCUUCCUAAUUAGCUACAGUAAGAUACCAUGACUCCCAUGAUUUUUAUGCCAACCUUAAACCAAGUUAGAUUUAACCAGAGACAUUGGGUCAAGUCAGAAGUUGCCUUCCAAAUGAAAAGAUUUCACCACGAACUCAGAUAAAUACUUGUUUACACUAUUACUAUCAAACAUAUUUCUUCCAGAAUCCAAUUCCCCCUUUAGAUCUAUGCAUAUGUCAAAUUCAAAAAGCUCUCACUUGGACAUCAGUUCAGUACCUACAAUAUGGAUGAUAGACAGUGAUAUCAUUUUUCCUGAGAAAAAGGUUAACAUAUCAAGUUUGCUGCUGAUGGCAAAAUACCUAACCAAUAAAGCAACUAGGGGGCAGGUGGUGAUUAGACUCAUCAAUUAAUGAUGCCUAG